This is a non-coding RNA of Cricetulus griseus (Chinese hamster), 427 nucleotides long. Lineage: Eukaryota; Metazoa; Chordata; Mammalia; Rodentia; Cricetidae. The record is from the annotation of a RefSeq genome assembly.
AUGGCCCUGUUGGCCUCCUCAUUCUUGCUGCUGAUUGUGCCUGCAUAUGUCCUGUCCCAGGUUACCCUGAAGGAGUCUGGCCCUGGGCUGUUGCAACCUUCCCAGGACCUCAGUCUGACCUGCUCUUUCUCUGGGUUUUCACUGAGCACUUCUGGUAUGGGUGUGGGCUGGGUCCAACAACCCUCAGGGAAGGGUCUCGAGGGGCUUGCAAUCAUUUGGUGGGAUGAUGACAAGAGGUACAACCCAUCCCUGAAGAGCCGCCUCACCAUCUCCAAGGACACCUCCAACAACCGGGUAACCCUCAAGAUCACCAGUGUGGACACUGCAGAUACUGCCACAUACUACUGUGCUCAGAGAUCACAAUGACACAGCCUUGGCUGACAGCUGUACAAUAUUUCAGGCUGGUUCUCAGCUCUGUGUCUUCCUC